This 465-nucleotide ribosomal RNA is filed under the name Vreelandella stevensii. RNAcentral describes it as "partial 16S ribosomal RNA". It matches the Rfam family "Bacterial small subunit ribosomal RNA", at positions 338 to 795 of the family's 1533-position model. Lineage: Bacteria; Pseudomonadati; Pseudomonadota; Gammaproteobacteria; Oceanospirillales; Halomonadaceae. The record is from RNAcentral.
CCUACGGGUGGCGGCAGUGGGGAAUAUUGGACAAUGGGGGGAACCCUGAUCCAGCCAUGCCGCGUGUGUGAAGAAGGCCCUCGGGUUGUAAAGCACUUUCAGUGAGGAAGAACGCCUGGUGGUUAAUACCCAUCAGGAAAGACAUCACUCACAGAAGAAGCACCGGCUAACUCCGUGCCAGCAGCCGCGGUAAUACGGAGGGUGCGAGCGUUAAUCGGAAUUACUGGGCGUAAAGCGCGCGUAGGUGGCUUGAUAAGCCGGUUGUGAAAGCCCCGGGCUCAACCUGGGAACGGCAUCCGGAACUGUCAAGCUAGAGUGCAGGAGAGGAAGGUAGAAUUCCCGGUGUAGCGGUGAAAUGCGUAGAGAUCGGGAGGAAUACCAGUGGCGAAGGCGGCCUUCUGGACUGACACUGACACUGAGGUGCGAAAGCGUGGGUAGCAAACAGGAUUAGAUACCCUUGUAGUC